This 65-nucleotide transfer RNA is filed under the name Polyzosteria viridissima. Its description in RNAcentral is "tRNA-Arg". The record is from RNAcentral. Lineage: Eukaryota; Metazoa; Arthropoda; Insecta; Blattodea; Blattidae.
GAAUAAGAAGCAAUUAAUUGCAAUCAGUUUCGACCUGAUAGUCAGAUAAUAUUUAUCCUUAUUUU